GAUGAACGCUGGCGGCGUGCCUAAUACAUGCAAGUCGAGCGAACGGACGAGAAGCUUGCUUUUCUGAUGUUAGCGGCGGACGGGUGAGUAACACGUGGAUAACCUACCUAUAAGACUGAGAUAACUUCGGGAAACCGGAGCUAAUACCGGAUAAUAUUUUGAACCGCAUGAUUCAAAAGUGGAAGACGGUCUUGCUGUCACUUCUAGAUGGAUCCGCGCUGCAUUAGCUAGUUGGUAAGGUAACGGCUUACCAAGGCAACGAUGCAUAGCCGACCUGAGAGGGUGAUCGGCCACACUGGAACUGAGACACGGUCAAGACGCCUACGGGAGGCAGCAGUAGGGAAUCUUCCGCAAUGGGCGAAAGCCUGACGGAGCAACGCCGCGCGAGUGAUGAAGGUCUUCGGAUCGGAAAACUCUGUUAUUAGGGAAGAACAUAUGUGUAAGUAACUGUGCACAUCUUGACGGUACCUAAUCAGAAAGCCACGGCUAACUACGUG
This 497-nucleotide ribosomal RNA is filed under the name uncultured bacterium. RNAcentral describes it as "partial 16S ribosomal RNA". It matches the Rfam family "Bacterial small subunit ribosomal RNA", at positions 28 to 507 of the family's 1533-position model. The record is from RNAcentral.